This 502-nucleotide ribosomal RNA is filed under the name uncultured bacterium. RNAcentral's name for it is "partial 16S ribosomal RNA". It matches the Rfam family "Bacterial small subunit ribosomal RNA", at positions 28 to 523 of the family's 1533-position model. The record is from RNAcentral.
GAUGAACGCUAGCGGCAGGCCUAACACAUGCAAGUCGAGGGGCAGCACAGAAACAGCAACGUUUUGGUGGCGACCGGCGGACGGGUGCGUAACGCGUAUGCAACCUACCUUUAACAGGGGGAUAACGGAGAGAAAUUUCCACUAAUACCCCAUAACAUCGAUCAAGGCAUCUUGAUUGGUUGAAAACUCCGGUGGUUAAAGAUGGGCAUGCGUUGUAUUAGGUAGUUGGUGAGGUAAUGGCUCACCAAGCCUACGAUACAUAGGGGGACUGAGAGGUUAGCCCCCCACACUGGUACUGAGACACGGACCAGACUCCUACGGGAGGCAGCAGUGAGGAAUAUUGGUCAAUGGGGGCAACCCUGAACCAGCCAUGCCGCGUGCAGGAAGACGGCUCUAUGAGUUGUAAACUGCUUUCAAACAGGGAUAAAGCACAGUAUGUAUACUGUGUUGAAGGUACUGUAAGAAUAAGGAUCGGCUAACUCCGUGCCAGCCGCCGCAGUAA